Molecule: ribosomal RNA, 253 nt
Filed under: uncultured bacterium
Lineage: Bacteria
Also listed under: 1 other name
Description: partial 16S ribosomal RNA
Rfam family: Bacterial small subunit ribosomal RNA
Source: RNAcentral
UACGGAGGGGGCUAGCGUUGUUCGGAAUUACUGGGCGUAAAGCGCACGUAGGCGGACUGGAAAGUCAGAGGUGAAAUCCCAGGGCUCAACCUUGGAACUGCCUUUGAAACUCCCAGUCUUGAGGUCGAGAGAGGUGAGUGGAAUUCCGAGUGUAGAGGUGAAAUUCGUAGAUAUUCGGAGGAACACCAGUGGCGAAGGCGGCUCACUGGCUCGAUACUGACGCUGAGGUGCGAAAGCGUGGGGAGCAAACAGG